Molecule: ribosomal RNA, 577 nt
Filed under: Malassezia sympodialis
Lineage: Eukaryota; Fungi; Basidiomycota; Malasseziomycetes; Malasseziales; Malasseziaceae
Description: LSU rRNA
Rfam family: Eukaryotic large subunit ribosomal RNA
Source: RNAcentral
AGCGGAGGAAAAGAAACUAACAAGGAUUCCCCUAGUAACGGCGAGCGAAGCGGGAAGAGCUCAAAUUUGAAAGCUGGCACCUCCGGUGUCCGCGUUGUAAUCUCGAGACGUGUUUUCCGUGCGGCUCUAUGGACAAGUCCCUUGGAACAGGGCAUCGUAGAGGGUGAAAAUCCCGUACUUGCCAUGGAUGUACCGUGCUUUGUGAUACACGCUCUAAGAGUCGAGUUGUUUGGGAUUGCAGCUCAAAAUGGGUGGUAGACUCCAUCUAAAGCUAAAUAUCGGGGAGAGACCGAUAGCGAACAAGUACCGUGAGGGAAAGAUGAAAAGCACUUUGGAAAGAGAGUUAAAAGUACGUGAAAUUGUCGAAAGGGAAGCGCUUGAAGUCAGCCAUGCUGCGCGGACUCAGCCCGGCUGAUGCCUGGUGUAUUUCCCAGCAGCAAGUCAGCAUGGAUUUGGAUCGCCGGAGAAGGGUGGGAGGAAUGUGGCACCCUCGGGUGUGUUAAGCCUCCUACUGGAUACGGCGAUUUGGAUCCAGGAACGCAGUGUGCCUCUGGCGGGUCUUCGGACACCUUCACAC